GUGAGGAAUAUUGGGCAAUGGGCGAAAGCCUGACCCAGCCACGCCGCGUGAGUGAUGAAGGCCUUCGGGUUGUAAAGCUCUGUGGGGAGGGAAGAAAAAGCGCAGGAGUAACUGCCUGUGUGUUGACGGUACCUCCUUAGCAAGCACCGGCUAACUCUGUGCCAGCAGCCGCGGUAAUACAGAGGGUGCAAACGUUGCUCGGAAUUACUGGGCGUAAAGCGCGUGUAGGCUGACAUGCAAGUCGGGUGUGAAAUCCCAGGGCUCAACCUUGGAACUGCACUCGAAACUGCACGUCUUGAGUACUGGAGAGGGAAGCGGAAUUCCGGGUGUAGAGGUGAAAUUCGUAGAUAUCCGGAGGAACACCAGUGGCGAAGGCGGCUUUCUGGACAGUAACUGACGCUGAGACGCGAAAGCGUGGGGAGCAAACAGGAUUAGAAACCCGUGUAGUCC
This 450-nucleotide ribosomal RNA is filed under the name uncultured bacterium. RNAcentral's name for it is "partial 16S ribosomal RNA". It matches the Rfam family "Bacterial small subunit ribosomal RNA", at positions 354 to 796 of the family's 1533-position model. The record is from RNAcentral.